Molecule: ribosomal RNA, 273 nt
Filed under: Triticum aestivum (bread wheat)
Lineage: Eukaryota; Viridiplantae; Streptophyta; Magnoliopsida; Poales; Poaceae
Description: partial small subunit ribosomal RNA
Source: RNAcentral
CCCUUAAUCCAAUUCAACGGCGAUUAUAAAUGGAUAGAUGUCUUCGAUUUCCACUGGAGAUUGAGUAUCGAUGGAUUUUCAUUAUGAUCUAUUUUAUUGACCAGAUUUAUCACUACUUUAGCUACUUUACUAGCUUGGCCAAUUACGCGGAAUUCACGAUUAUUCUAUUUCAUGAUGCUCGCAAUGUAUAGUGGUCAGAUAGGAUUAUUUUCUUCGUGAGACCUUUUACUUUUUUAUCUGGCCCUGCCAUCAAUCACUUCGGUAAACAGGUGA